GGAACCGCUCCCGGGCGGGGGGAGGAGCCGCCCGGCCCCGCCCCCCGGUGCUGCGGCCGCUGCGCAUCCCGGUGAUGCUGCCCCCCAGCCCUGCUAUUUCAUCUGUUUCAUCACCCAUUUCACCAACAGCCCUACAAUCUUUAUUUCAGCCCCAGCCCAGCAGUCGUUACUUCAGCUCUAGCUCCACCCUUACAAACUUCAUUUCAGCCCCCUGCCAGCUGCUCCUGGCGAUACCCGUGAACUAAGAUUGUUAGAAAACAGAUAUUUGUGGAAUAGAACUGUUAAGAUCAAUUUAAGCUGUUUUAACCAUUUAACCGCUGUGCUGCAGAACAAAUACUGAUCUUUUGAGGCAUACUUAGAAGAGGAUGAAGAACUCAUAAAUAAUCUUACCCGAGACGGUUCGGCCUUGUAGUAGCAGCUGCAAAGAAACAAAAAGAUGAGCUGCAAAUUAGCACCAAAACCAGACCAGGCAGGACUUCAAGGACAAGAUCUACGUGACCGCAGGAAUGAGUUCAUGCAGAAGUAAGGGUCGACGGGCAGACACAGGGAAGAAGACUACGAGCCUUCAUCUAAAGAUCCUCAAUGACCACCUGAAGACCAACAGACAUGCACAAGAGACAUUAACAUAUGCUAAUGAGUUCCUGGAAAAGUUAUGAAAAGGAUAAAGAUACGAUAAAAAUGCAAGGAAUAGGCAUGAUUAAGGUAGUAGAAGUGCUUGUUGACUUUGGUUCCAGACACGCACAUUAGGAGGAGCUCUCCCCUGUGUGUCCGGCGCUGUAACGAAGAACGCCUGCUUUCUAAAACUCCAAAAUUGAGUCGUA
Tyto alba (common barn owl) is the source of this 821-nucleotide long non-coding RNA. RefSeq lists it as uncharacterized. The record is from RefSeq and is a predicted model, not a curated record. NCBI's taxonomy places the organism in Eukaryota, Metazoa, Chordata, Aves, Strigiformes, Tytonidae. The transcript is spliced from 2 exons.